This 1096-nucleotide unclassified non-coding RNA is filed under the name Hevea brasiliensis (rubber tree). Lineage: Eukaryota; Viridiplantae; Streptophyta; Magnoliopsida; Malpighiales; Euphorbiaceae. The record is from RNAcentral.
GCUGAUUUCAUAAAGUGGGUAGCUGAAGUUCGAAGGCAAGAGGAGAAUGGUCAAAAGCUAAGUGAAGAGGAGAAAGGAAGGCUAGCUAUCAAGGAAGAGGUAUUGAAACAAGUACAGGACACUCCUCUUUAUAAGCACGUCACAAGCAUUUUACUUUCAGAAGAUUCUGUCUGUCAGUUAAAAGCAGAAACGGAAAGCAGUUUGACCAAUGUUGCUGCGAGCAUUUGUUGCCAAGGAGCAGACAUUUUUGCUGGAAGAUCUGGUUUGUCGGAUAGGUUUUGCUGUCGCCAAACAUGUGUCAGAUGCUACAGAGCUACGGGAAACAAUCCUGCUACAGUGGUGUCUGGGACAGUUGUAAAUGGGAAUGGGAAUGGGGAGCAGGGGGUCGAUGUUCUGGUCCCUACGUCUCAAGCAAAGACUAGCUGCUGUUCUUCGGGGCAAAAUGGUUGCUCACCAAUGCACCCUGGAAGCAACGAUGUGCUGACAGCACUGUUGUUGGCAUUACCUCCACAAACAUGGUCUCACAUAAAAGAUAAGAAAGUCUUGCAGGAGAUAGAGAACCUUGUCUCAGCAGAAAACCUGCCGCCUUUGUUGCAAGAAGAGAUUUUGCACCUGCGAGGGCAGUUCCUCCUGUUAAAGAGAUGCAAGGAUAACAAGGUUUGGUAAAAUCAAGAACCACAAGGCGCGUCGAGUCCUAUGGAGCUGGAAAUCUCUUUGUGGAGAUCCAUUUGGUCAAGCAGCUAUUUGGCAUAAAAUGCAUGCCAUGAAGAAUGAGACAACGUCCAGUUAAGAAACCUUGCUGUGAAGCUUUUGUGCCCUUCGAGCUAUCGGAUUUACAACGUACUUGACCAGGACUACAUUGUAUGUGCCACAUCUUCUAGCUAUGGUAGUUUUCUGUCAAGGGCUGAAGGUAAUGUUCAUAAAUUAUGUUGACACACUCAUUUCUCUUUUGAAACAGUAUAUAGCACAAGUUGCUGUUCAUUUUCCCAUUUGUCUAUGUAAUUUUAGGAUUUAUUUGCCAUGUAUGUUUGGUGUAAUCAUCAUAUCAUAUGAUAUAUUAAAAGUGGGAAGUUCAACCUUCAAAGUUCGAUUAUCA